Molecule: transfer RNA, 67 nt
Filed under: Marmota monax (woodchuck)
Lineage: Eukaryota; Metazoa; Chordata; Mammalia; Rodentia; Sciuridae
Description: tRNA.Ala
Source: RNAcentral
GGUUAUGGCUCAGAGGUAGAGCACUCGCCUAGCAUGUGUGAGGCACUGGGUUCGAUCCUCAGCACCA